UGGGGAAUAUUGCACAAUGGGCGAAAGCCUGAUGCAGCAACGCCGCGUGAGUGAUGAAGGCCUUAGGGUUGUAAAGAUCUGUCUUCUGGGACGAUAAUGACGGUACCAGAGGAGGAAGCCACGGCUAACUACGUGCCAGCAGCCGCGGUAAUACGUAGGUGGCAAGCGUUGUCCGGAUUUACUGGGCGUAAAGGAUGCGUAGGCGGAUACUUAAGUCAGAUGUGAAAAUCCCGGGCUUAACUUGGGAACUGCAUUUGAAACUGGGUAUCUAGAGUGCGGGAGAGGAAAGUGGAAUUCCUAGUGUAGCGGUGAAAUGCGUAGAGAUUAGGAAGAACACCAGUGGCGAAGGCGACUUUCUGGACCGUAACUGACGCUGAGGCAUGAAAGCGUGGGGAGCAAACA
RNAcentral lists this ribosomal RNA (402 nucleotides) under uncultured bacterium. RNAcentral describes it as "bacterial SSU rRNA". It matches the Rfam family "Bacterial small subunit ribosomal RNA", at positions 355 to 774 of the family's 1533-position model. The record is from RNAcentral.